Eleginops maclovinus (Patagonian blennie) is the source of this 1679-nucleotide long non-coding RNA. RefSeq lists it as uncharacterized. NCBI's taxonomy places the organism in Eukaryota, Metazoa, Chordata, Actinopteri, Perciformes, Eleginopidae. The record is from RefSeq and is a predicted model, not a curated record. The transcript has 3 exons.
CGCCAUACCAGUAACCACAUUUUAUGGAAAGAGGAGAGAUCGUUGUUGCUCUGGCUACAGACACAGACCCGGCUCUGGAGGCUGCAGCUUUAACCUCUACAGCGAAGGUUAAGGACUCAAUGCACCACACAGACGCCGGACCAUAAAACCCUUAUAUCCAAUAAAAGUGGUAUAAAGGUUCACAUAACUCCCUUUCAACGUACAUCGAGGUUGAUGUGGUUUAUGAGUCAGAAAAUAAGAAGAAGCAGCACCUGCUCCGAGUCAAGGUGACAUUAACUAGUUAGAGGAUUGUUACACAUUGAUUUGCUAUCCGUCACCUUCCAAUCAUCCCCUUCCCCUCCCAGAGAGAGAUCGCUGGGACAAUCAAGGAACGAUGUCAUCGAGGGCAUCGCACAGGUGGUCAUUUCUCAUGUUACCAUGGCAGCACCUGGCAGUUGUUGGGAUAAAACGAAGACUUACGGACAUCUGGUGCUCAGUGGUGCAGCUUGUUUAACUGCGUCUCCCUCAAUCUUUCCCUCCUCUGUCCCACUGUGCCAUAGUCUUGCUGUCCAUCAUCACGCAGAGACGUGAGAGGUGGGAUUUCAUGCAUUUGAGCAUUUACUCAAUUAUUUUCAUUUUAUGCAACUUACUUUAUACCUUUAUUAGUGGUUACAAUUCUACAACUUCUUAAGGCAAAUAAACUUUUUAAAAACCCUUGACCUUUUUUUAGAGGUACACAGUUCCCUUAUAUAUGUGUAUAUAAACAUAUAAAGAUCUUGUAGAAUAUAAAGUCUUGCUGUAGAUUUAACUACCCAACAGUAUAGAAAGGUAAAAACAGCACAACCGUAAACAUCUGCAGCAUUACAAUGCAACACACACAUCAAUGCUGCAGUGAAAUGGACUUCAUAUAUGACAGUAAAACAAAAAUGACACAUGUAGAUAGCUAGACCCUAAAACCCUCAUAUCCAACAACUGUGGUGUAACGGUUCACAUAACUCCCAUUCAACCAUAUCUGAAAAAGCCUACAUAGUUAAUUAAAGUAAUGUUUGGAAUGGAAGAUUUUUACCUUUGCAUUAUAUUUAUUGUAUCAUAGGUGAAUUAUCUUUAUAGUUCUUCCAUACCGGUUGAUUUUCAAAGGUGGACAGAGCCUCUGAUAAGCAAGCACAACGUGUUGUCCUCCAUCAGCUUGGAACGGCUGGGUUAGGUUUAACAGUACUUCUCCAUUUUCUUAUUUUCCCACUUCUUUCCCUGUAUCUCUUCCAGUCUUAUCUUUAUGGUGCCUGCAGCUGUCUUUCUGUUUCCGCAGAUAUUAAGAGAUAACAGCGGCAGACAGAUGGGCAAAACUGUUGAAUGGACUGGUUUAUUGGCUAUUUACAGUUGACAGUUUACUUCAUAAUUCUUAAGUUAAUAAGUACAGCUAAGAGUUCCAACUGGAGUAUACUGUACAUGUGAUCCUGUCUUUAUACAUUUCUAGCUUUAUGGAUGUAUCCAAACUGGAAUUGGAGUUAAAGAGCUCCAUUGCAUCUCAGUAUGAAGAUAGUUUUAAACUGUUGACACUUGAUGUUACCAUUAAGCCACUUCUAUAAGGCUCUAGUUAUCAGUUUAGUGUAGUUUUUAUAGUUUGCAGGUAGGAUUUUAUGUCAGACAGUAGGUUGGGUUUCUACCUCCCAAAUUCACUUGCUUUAAUAUGGUAUUUUAUC